AUGGCGGACCCAUCGAGAGUGAAGAGUGGAGCUUUAUAAAACCAUUCAACAAUUGUCGUUUAAAAGACAACCAAAUAAAUAUUUUGAAAAACAACUACUGGAAGAUAUCUCCUGAUUCAGAUUUAUGAGCAAGAUAAUCAUGCUUCCAUCGUCAAAGUAGCUCUUCUGAGUGUGUUUCAUCAUCGACAUCAAUGCCAUGUGGGUCAACAUCACUGAAUGAAACUGCUUCAAUACGAAAGCUUACAAGUGAAGAUAUAGAUAGGAGAGUAUAACAUCCCAACCUAUACAUUGUAGUUAAAAUAUAAUAACAAUAUCAACCUCAAAUUCAACUAAUAUUUUGUAUGCAAUCAAGCAAAAUUUGGAAAUGCUGGUUGUUAAUUUUACUGCAAUUAUUACACAAGAUAUGAUUACACUCCUUUAUCAUUACCCCAUCCCGUCAGAAUUGCUAUUACAUGUGAAUGCAAUAUAAUUUUUGUACACAAUCAUUAUUCAAUUAUGGUUUUCAGCAUAAAUUAUGCCUUAUGUCCCUUCUCCAGACAAUAUUUAUUGCAAGCUAUAUGAUAUUUGCUCCAAUAUUUGGCUAUAUUUGUGAAAGAUACAGUUGCAAGCUCAUUAUGAUCUAUUGCCUCGUUAUCUGGUCCUUAACAACAUUUCUUAGCACACUACUUAAUAAACACCUAUGUAAGCUUUUACUGAUUUCAUACGGUGAGUUAGAAGUCAGAUAUGUUAAAAACAGAAGGAAAAUGGUAGGUUUAUGAAUAGUUUGGUAUGUUCUUGGUUCAAAAGUAUCUUCCGCAUUUAGUGGUGGCAAUAAUUUUAUAAUAAAGAAAACACAGGGUAUGUAAACAUGUGAAAUAAACAUGUUAUUACUUGAUGUGUUUCAGGUAACUCCAAUCUUGGGUGUGCUUCUUAUCAUCUUGGGCUUUAUAUCUGUUGUUUGAACCUGUCUAGGGGCAAAUUGAAAAGAGUCAGGGUGAUAUUGUUGCAGACAAGGAUGUUAUCAUUCGUCGUUCAUGGUUGAAUGAUGCGAAACAUAUGUUACGCUGAUACAGACAGAGCCACAGCAUCGGCAGUCCUUAUAUUGUGGGUUUGGUAACCGCAGCUUCAAAGUUUCUGACUUUACAGGAGUCAGUAAGAGAUGCAGCAGAUCUCUAUUUAUCAUUUUAGCAUAUUCCUCUUGUUUUUCUUUGCGACACGGCUUGUGGGUUUGUCAGGCACUUAGAGUGUCGGGUCAGUAAAGAAAUGACCGAAUAGCUAUGGAAAGAUAACAGAGGGUGUUUUGAGGUACCAUCGUUGGAUAAACCACCAUCAAAGGAAAUGAGUGUCCCUAUGCUGACAACAGCAGAAUACAGAAAAAGUGACAAUGAUAUGAUACAGGUGGAGGAUGGUAGCAUGAUUCAUCCAUUGACAGGCACAUCCAGGAGAUAUUUUUUAGGUGACAGAUUUCACACAGCAAGCAAUCCUCACAAGUCACCCCUUUGUGAAUAUCACAACAUAAAUCUUUUGUCUCAGUCGAACACGAUAAAAACAAGCUAUCAAGAGUCCGAAAACAACUGAAAGAAUGUGCGAUGGUUACGAAGCUCGACGAUGCAAAAUUUUUCCCCCACUAUUUUUAUAACUUUUUGAUGGAUUUCUAUCAAAAUGAGGAAAUAGUAAAAAAGCAACACGACGUAGCUUCGAGACAGCUAAAACCUGGGCAGAUGUUAUGCAGGAAUUCAUAUAUGCAAUUUGUGAUAAAAGAUGGUGAAAAAUAAGCAUUAGGGUUAUUACUCAUCGCGCGCUUGUUGUUUACGUUGGGUAGGUGGAGCUCGUCAGUCUUGGAAGACAGUCCACCUAGGAGAAGGAAAACUCUGAUUUAAAACCCCCGGACUCGUGCAAUAAAUGGGUCAGGCUGUCCAUGUCGGAUUCAUUGAUGCUGCUAAUAAUUAUUGCAAUACUUAAUGUUUCCUAGGCAUGCUGACGAGCCCUGAGAUAGGGCAAAACAGCCAUUAUACACGAAUUGUUAUACAUAGUAUUAUUUAUUGGAUCUAGUUUUCAUAACUUUUCAUAUCUUUAGCAAGCAACUGGACGGUUUAUUCGUU
This 2081-nucleotide long non-coding RNA is filed under the name Dendronephthya gigantea. RNAcentral describes it as "uncharacterized LOC114538268". Lineage: Eukaryota; Metazoa; Cnidaria; Anthozoa; Malacalcyonacea; Nephtheidae. The record is from RNAcentral.